Molecule: transfer RNA, 74 nt
Filed under: Mycolicibacterium aichiense
Lineage: Bacteria; Bacillati; Actinomycetota; Actinomycetes; Mycobacteriales; Mycobacteriaceae
Also listed under: 6 other names
Description: tRNA-Leu
Rfam family: tRNA
About the family: Transfer RNA (tRNA) molecules are approximately 80 nucleotides in length. Their secondary structure includes four short double-helical elements and three loops (D, anti-codon, and T loops).
Source: RNAcentral
GCCCCAGUAGCCCAAUUGGCAGAGGCAAAGGACUUAAAAUCCUUGAGUUGCGAGUUCGACUCUCGCCUGGGGCA